AUUGAACGCUGGCGGCAUGCCUUACACAUGCAAGUCGAACGGCAGCACGGGAGCAAUCCUGGUGGCGAGUGGCGAACGGGUGAGUAAUAUAUCGGAACGUGCCCGGUCGUGGGGAUAACGUAGCGAAAGCUACGCUAAUACCGCAUACGAUCUACGGAUGAAAGCGGGGGAUCGCAAGACCUCGCGCGAUUGGAGCGGCCGAUAUCAGAUUAGGUAGUUGGUGAGGUAAAGGCUCACCAAGCCGACGAUCUGUAGCUGGUCUGAGAGGACGACCAGCCACACUGGGACUGAGACACGGCCCAGACUCCUACGGGAGGCAGCAGUGGGGAAUUUUGGACAAUGGGCGCAAGCCUGAUCCAGCAAUGCCGCGUGCAGGAUGAAGGCCUCGGUUGUAACGUG
RNAcentral lists this ribosomal RNA (399 nucleotides) under uncultured bacterium. RNAcentral describes it as "bacterial SSU rRNA". It matches the Rfam family "Bacterial small subunit ribosomal RNA", at positions 30 to 432 of the family's 1533-position model. The record is from RNAcentral.